Zonotrichia leucophrys gambelii is the source of this 1124-nucleotide long non-coding RNA. RefSeq lists it as uncharacterized. Lineage: Eukaryota; Metazoa; Chordata; Aves; Passeriformes; Passerellidae. The record is from RefSeq and is a predicted model, not a curated record. The transcript has 3 exons.
CGGGGAGCCAGGUAAGGAGCAGCCCGAGCCCCACAUGCUGCGGCCGGGUGGCAGCGAUGUCCCCGCGGGCACAGCCAGGCCUGGGGGCACAGGGGCUCUCCGGGGAGGAGCUGGAGCCACUGAAUGAUGGUGAGGUCCUGAGCUGUCACCGGGGUUUUAGCCGGAGCUGCGGGAGCUGCGUUACCUUCGGCAGAGGCUCUGUCCGUGAAGCACCGUGCGCGCCCAGGACAGGAUUUAUGGAUUGAGCCUUCCCGGCUGCGGCUGCUCCGGCGCGGGGCCCGCGGCGCAAGUUCAAGGUUUGUGAGAGCCCGGAGGUGUUUAAUGGCAAAUGGAUGUCUGGGCUUUUAUGGGCAGCAGCAGCAGGAGGAGGAGGAGGAGGAAAACUUCCCGCGGCCAGGCCCGCGCAGGCCUCUCGGAGCAAUCUUUUCCUAAUAAAGAGUCUAAUCGAAACGCUCCUUCCCCCGCCUCGGCGGGAAGGGCCGCGGAAGAGGCUGCGGAGGUGCAGAGCCGCCGCGGAUCGAUGGAGAGAAGCCCGGAUUGAUCGGCCUCUAAAAUUAAAUUUAUUGGGGUCAUGGUUUUAUAUGGUGCUGAUACAACUGUUAAAUGGGGAACAUUCAUUUCCAAUAGGAGGCGUUUAUUAAACUUCCACUGAAUUAGACCGCCGUGAUUUAUGUGGCAAUCUCGGCUCAGCCCUCCAGGAGCGCGGGGCCUUCCGCGCCCGCCACGCGUGAUUAUUUAUUUAUACACCCGUGACACGGCUCCCUAAGUUUUAACCUAAAUUAUCCUCCGGCUUCGGCUGCCGGCGGCACCGGCCCGGGGAGCGGGGAAGGACGGGGGUCCCGUCGGGGCUGCGCCCUCCGCGCCCCCCGGUCCCGGGGGUGUCCCGGGGGGGGUCCCCGGUUUGGGGGGCGGCGGAGCCCGCAAACGUCCCGGCUCCCGCGUGCGGCGAUCGUUGAGCGUUAAUUAGAAAUUCAUUACAAUUAAAAGCCGCGCGCACACGCCUUAAUUACAUCUGAUUUUUAAUUCCGAAUCCGUGUUUACACAGUAAGCGAGACGUACCUCCUGAUUAUCCCCAAUACUCUUUAUACUGUACUAAUUAUGUAAAUUAAACCUAAUUAACUGAC